GGUUAAGUUAGAAAGGGCGCACGGUGGAUGCCUUGGCACUAGGAGCCGAUGAAGGACGGGACGAACACCGAUAUGCUUCGGGGAGCUGUAAGCAAGCUUUGAUCCGGAGAUUUCCGAAUGGGGAAACCCACUGCUCGUAAUGGAGCAGUAUCCAUAUCUGAAUUCAUAGGAUAUGAGAAGGCAGACCCGGGGAACUGAAACAUCUAAGUACCCGGAGGAAGAGAAAGCAA
RNAcentral lists this ribosomal RNA (230 nucleotides) under Bacillus sp. LB7. RNAcentral's name for it is "partial 23S ribosomal RNA". It matches the Rfam family "Bacterial large subunit ribosomal RNA", at positions 1 to 228 of the family's 2925-position model. Lineage: Bacteria; Bacillati; Bacillota; Bacilli; Caryophanales; Bacillaceae. The record is from RNAcentral.